UCGAGUGAUUUAGCGGCGCGUAGUCGCACUUGUGCCAGCAGCCGCGGUAAUUCCAUCGCCAAUAGCGUAUAUUAAAGUUGUUGUGGUUAAGAAGCUUGGGGUGAACCUUGGGCCUGGCUGGCCGGUCCGCCUCACCGCGUGCACUGGUCCGGCCGGGCCUUUCCCUCUGUGGAACCCCAUACCCUUCACUGGGCGUGGCGGGGAAACAGGACAUUUACUUUGAAAAAAUUAGAGUGCUCCAGGCAGGCCUAUGCUCGAAUACAUUAGCAUGGAAUAAUAAAAUAGGACGCGCGGUUCUAUUUUGUUGGUUUAUAGGACCGCCGUAAUGAUUAAUAGGGACAGUCGGGGGCAUCAGUAUUCAACUGUCAGAGGUGAAAUUCUUGGAUCAGUUGAAGACUAACUACUGCGAAAGCAUUUGCCAAGGAUGUUUUUCAUUAAUCAGGAACGAAAGUUAGGGGAUCGAAGACGAUCAGAUACCGUCGUAGUCUUAACCAUAAACUAUGCCGACUAGGGGAUCGGACGGUGUUAUUCAUGACCCGUUCGGCACCUUACGGGAAAUCAAAGUGCUGGGUCUCCUAGGGGGAGUAUGGUCGCAAGGCUUGAAACUUAAAGAAAAUUGACGGGAAGGGCACCACCAGGGGUGGAGCCCGCGCCUUAAUUUGACUUCAGCACGGGGAAACUCACCAGGCCCAGACCACAAUAAGGAUUUGACAGAUUUGAGAAGCUCUUUCCUGAAUUUUGUGGGGAGUGGGGCAUGGCCCGUUUCUUAGAUGGGGGGGAGGCUUGGCCUGCUAAAUUGCCGAUAACCAAAGAAGACCCUUAAACCUGGCUAUAUAGCUCGCUA
Molecule: ribosomal RNA, 844 nt
Filed under: uncultured fungus
Lineage: Eukaryota; Fungi
Description: bacterial SSU rRNA
Rfam family: Eukaryotic small subunit ribosomal RNA
Source: RNAcentral